ACACCUCAACUCUUCAUGGUUUUCCAUGAAGGGCUUGGACUUUGGGGGUCUUGCUGGCCUGUAGUCAGCUCCUCUCAAAUGAAUCAGCUUUCCAGUGUUUGGCAGCGUCACAGGUGUGAUAACUAUCUACGCUUGUGGUUUUCUGCCAGGUAAUCCUCAGUGAUGGGGGUUCGCUGGGGCUUACAAAUGUCUCUCCUCAGCGAAGACAGCUUUGUGAAC
RNAcentral lists this unclassified non-coding RNA (219 nucleotides) under uncultured Thelephoraceae. RNAcentral describes it as "sequence contains ITS2". Lineage: Eukaryota; Fungi; Basidiomycota; Agaricomycetes; Thelephorales; Thelephoraceae. The record is from RNAcentral.